UGGGGAAUCUUGCACAAUGGGCGAAAGCCUGAUGCAGCAACGCCGCGUGCGGGAAGAAGGCCUUAGGGUUGUAAAGCUCUUUUACCCGGGAUGAUAAUGACAGUACCGGGAGAAUAAGCCCCGGCUAACUCCGUGCCAGCAGCCGCGGUAAUACGGAGGGGGCUAGCGUUGUUCGGAAUUACUGGGCGUAAAGCGCGCGUAGGCGGCUUUGUAAGUUAGAGGUGAAAGCCCGGAGCUUAACUCCGGAACUGCCUUUAAGACUGCAUCGCUAGAAUCGUGGAGAGGUGAGUGGAAUUCCGAGUGUAGAGGUGAAAUUCGUAGAUAUUCGGAAGAACACCAGUGGCGAAGGCGACUCACUGGACACGUAUUGACGCUGAGGUGCGAAAGCGUGGGGAGCAAA
RNAcentral lists this ribosomal RNA (400 nucleotides) under uncultured bacterium. Its description in RNAcentral is "bacterial SSU rRNA". It matches the Rfam family "Bacterial small subunit ribosomal RNA", at positions 355 to 772 of the family's 1533-position model. The record is from RNAcentral.